Long non-coding RNA from Arachis duranensis, 857 nucleotides. RefSeq lists it as uncharacterized. The transcript is spliced from 3 exons. The record is from RefSeq and is a predicted model, not a curated record. NCBI's taxonomy places the organism in Eukaryota, Viridiplantae, Streptophyta, Magnoliopsida, Fabales, Fabaceae.
UCCCUAUUCAGUUUCCACUUUCCAGUCUCCAGUCCUUCUCCCAUCUCCUUCUUUCUCCCGAAACCAAAACAGAAACCCUAGCCUCAUCGCCAACCGUGGAAAGCCGCAAGGAGUGAGUCACCGCCGCCGUCCGUCGCAGUCAGGGGAAGCACAGAAGCCUCUCCUCCCAACCCCUAGAUCCCCUUCACCAGUUCUCCCAGCCCUAGCCUCACUGCCAUAUCACCUCCGCCGUCUCAACUACUUGAAGCUGCCGUCCCUACUGCAUCUCGUCUCGCGUGCUUCCUCCGUUGCGCAGCCGCUGUUCCGCUGCGCCGGCUCUGCUCCUCUGCUCUAGUUCCGCCGCGCACCACCCUCCUGGGCUCCAGUUCCGUGGUGGUCCAGGCCACCUCUUCUCCAGUUCCGCGGUGGUCCAGGCCACCUCUUCUCUAGUUCUGCCGCGUCCAACCUUCCGUCGUGCUCCCUCACCUCUGUGCUCUAGAAGAGAAGAUCUAUUAUAUGCUUAUGAAUGGCGUGGUUGAAGCUUGGAAAGAAGAGAAUUUAUAUGAAUAUUUCUAGAGCUUUGAAUACAUCUUCAUUUAGGCGUGUGGCAGGGUCAAGCAGUGGACCUAUUCAACUUUUAUGUGCAUAACAUCCUUGACCAGUAGCCAUUCAUAGCCCCGAAAGCAAUGACAUUGUUUUGGAAUUUUUUUUCGUUUAGGUUGGUUUAUGUUUCUAACAUUCUUUAGUACGUUUUCACAUGUAAUUCAUGGUUAAACCUAAUGCUUAGUUGCAAAACCUCAUUAUUUGUGCUAAAUUCUGGUAUGAGGGACGAGGUGGAAUGUUGAAUGCGUUCCAUUAUUAACAAUCUAUUAUAACAA